GCACUGAAAGGAUGAUAAUUCUUUCUUUAGUUAUUUUUUGUGACAGUACUUUUAAGUCCAUCUUUUAUUAAAUUUUAAAUCUAGUAGCCGAAAUAAAUUAUUAAUGUAACUCACCUUACUUUCUCACUUAUUGGCUGCACUUUGAUUUGUAAUAUUCCCUUAAAGGGCGGAAGAAUUUACCUUUAGGUAAGUCCUAGACAACGGUAUACAAGCUAUAGUAAGUAAGUAGCGAUUACUUGGUGGUUAUCAAUUAUAUGGUAAGUUCCCCUAAAGUACUUCUUUCAGCCGCCAUAAUAUUUAAGUUUGGACCAUCUUAGUAGUAGUAAUCCUUGUCCUAAUUAGUUUAAUUUCUAUAUAACUGGGUAUCUAAUCCAGGUUUAUGUGUCAGAAUUUAGUAUUAGUUAUAGUACAGUAAAAUUUAGUAAGUUAGCAGUAUUUCACUACAUAGCAACUUUUUAGGUACAAUAAAAAACAAAACAAAAACUAUAAAUUUAUCUAUUAAGUAUGACCGCGGUUGCUGGCACUUAAUACACCUAGAUUAAACAAAUAACUAAAUUUAAAUUUCUUUAAUUUAUUAAAACUUUUAACUGAGAAAUUUAUUUAUACCUCAUAUUAGAUUAGUUUGUAUAUUUAUAGCACCAUCAUAUUAAAGUGGCCUGUUCUAAGGGGGUGUGUGUACCAUUUUAGA
RNAcentral lists this ribosomal RNA (688 nucleotides) under Montenegrina perstriata radikae. RNAcentral describes it as "partial 12S ribosomal RNA". Lineage: Eukaryota; Metazoa; Mollusca; Gastropoda; Stylommatophora; Clausiliidae. The record is from RNAcentral.